RNAcentral lists this ribosomal RNA (443 nucleotides) under uncultured bacterium. RNAcentral describes it as "partial 16S ribosomal RNA". It matches the Rfam family "Bacterial small subunit ribosomal RNA", at positions 338 to 795 of the family's 1533-position model. The record is from RNAcentral.
CCUACGGGUGGCAGCAGUGGGGAAUAUUGGACAAUGGGGGGAACCCUGAUCCAGCGACGCCGCGUGAGUGAAGAAGUAUUUCGGUUUGUAAAGCUCUAUCAUCAGGGACGAAAGAAAUGACGGUACCUGACUAAGAAGCCCCGGCUAACUACGUGCCAGCAGCCGCGGUAAUACGUAGGGGGCAAGCGUUAUCCGGAUUUACUGGGUGUAAAGGGAGAGUAGACGGGGAUGCAAGUCUGAAGUGAAAGGCGGGGGCCCAACCGCAGGAGUGCAUUGGAAACUGUAUGGCUGGAGUGCAGGAGAGGUAAGUGGAAUUCCUAGUGUAGCGGUGGAAUGCGUAGAUAUCAGGAGGAACACCAGUGGCGAAGGCGGCUUACUGGACAGUAACUGACGUUGAGGCUCGAAAGCGUGGGGAGCAAACAGGAUUAGAUACCCUGGUAGUC